CACUCUUUCCCGAUCUCUUCUCAAAGGAGCCCCUUCAUUCUUUUGUCAAAGAAUUUGGUUUUAUACGCUAUCGACUACUUCAUAGCUCUGUUAUUAUUCGUCGAAUGAUGGUCAUACUCAUAUAAGUUCCCUUGGCAUGGGCUUAAAAGGUUGAUUUUGGAUGCUGCACCCGCUAUUUCCCAGCACGUCCUUCUAAUGGUCAUCAAGAUAACAACUGAGAUACUAUGGUAUCAGAACCUGAAAUAUAUAGGCAGGCUCUGCUUAGGGAAUCACUUGCUCCCAUUCAUACCUUCCAGGAAGGGGUAAAUCGUUGAUGAUGUCAAAGUUGUACCUGCGACAACCCAACCACCAACUAUGAGGAUUUCAUGGUAUUUGGGGGUCCAUGUAGAUUGCUAAUCUAUUUCAGUUAACAUGAAUCACAAUCAGUUAAAGUUGGUUUUGCAAUUUAACUAGCAUACUUCUCAAUGAAGAUUUUCUGUUGCUCCUCCUCAUGUCGGGCAAAGAACUCCUCCAUCUCAAGCGUGGUUGGGAUAUUUCUUUGCACAUUGUUUCUAACUCUCCGGUGAGUUGAAAUAGAACUCGUCCGCCUUGUGGUGGAACCGGGGGUUCCAAUUGUGUCCGACUCCCUUAUGAAGCUGCACGGCGUGGUUUCUCUAGUGCUCCUGUAUUAGACAUGGAAAAAAUAAUAUCAACCCUGCAAUCUUGUACACGAUUCAAGGGAAAUCUUAAUCCACAAACAUAUUAUUACCCGGGACCACCUUCAUCCCACAAAAAGGGACCAAAAUGUGUUUUCUUUUGGUGCCCAUGUGAUAUUAAUAACAAAGAAAUAAGAUAAAAGUGUAAUAAAUAAAACAAAUUACAUUUUGGCAGUGUAUGCAAGCAAUUAAAAGCACGAGAUCUGGAAGUUUUUGUCACCUAUACUAGUAACCCCAAAAAAGAGGUGUCCAACUUAAAUGUUAGAGAGGCAAAUAGGCCCCAUGAAAACGAUAUGUUAAUGCUCUAACACAAAUGAAGCCCAAGAGUGAUCGCUGUCGGUACUGCAAAAGAUAGUUUUAUUUUCCCUCAUUUCAUCGUCAUAUGGACACCCCCAGCUUUUGAGAUCAAUGCUAUUUUGCAAAUCAAAAGAGAGAACAUAAACGCAUCCAAAGAAUGACAACAAUAGUUUGUCCCUCGUGUCGUCGCCUCAGUCCUAAUGUGUAACAGAUGCAGACUAAAUUGCCAAAACAUGAUUAUGAAACUAGCUCUACAAAGAUAAGGCACAAUUAGAUAUAGUCUAUAUGAUAUCUGCUCAGGUAUAUCUUCUUAUUCUUUCACUGUCUAGUUAAGCUAAAAGCAAUAAAUCGGCUUUACAAAGAAGCUGAUGAAAAUUUAGGAACCAUGAGAAGCAGAUGACUUUGACAGCGCGGCCCAAAAGCCAAAGCUAAAAACUUUAUAUUUGAAAGAAAAGCAGUAGUUGAAAAAAAAUUCAAAUAAAACCCAUUUCUUGCGAGGGAAGAGGUGGAGGGAAAUGGCCAUUUUUCAAGUCUGAAAAAGCUUAAAAUAUUUCCUCUCCUAUAUUAUUAAAAGCCAACAAUUAUUAAUCAAGAAAAUCAUAUUUCACAUCAACAUUAAGCAAAAAGCACUGACAAAACCAGUGCUAAUCAUCAAUAUUUAAAAUUAAAAAAAAUAAAUUAAAAAACAAUUUAGAUCACAAGAACAGAAAAAAGAAAACUAUCGCAUUUGAGCUAAGAAAUAAAGAAGCAAAAUUUACCUGUCUCUGGCUUCAAAAUCCAAGUUGUUUUCCCCAAACGAAGCCUCGACCCCCAAAUCGUUACCAUACUCUGCUCCACUUCCGAAAUUACCAAAACACCCCUCCUCCCCUUCCUUCUCCUUCCUCUCAACGGGUCCAGCCCAGUCCAACUCCACCGACGAGCCCACGCUCAGCCUUGAUUUGGGCCUCGAUUCCACCGGCCCCCGUCGGCUUUCCCCGCAGCAGCAGCUCCUCCGGGCUUCUCCGAGGGCUCAUUAAUUCCGCCGCUCUGGCUCUGCUUCUUGACGGCGUCGUUUCGCAACGGGGGUUUCUCUAGACGGCGGCUCCUGAGCUGGAGGUAGUACAGGGAGGAGCUAUCUGAGUCCGAUUCUCCGGAGGGGGAUUGAUCUUGAUUCUCUUGCUUCUGCUGCUGCUGCUGCUGGAGCUUUUGGAGGGCUAGGGUUUUGGCUCUGGUCCGAACUCCGAGAGAGGACUGCGGCGAAAUGGAGACCUCCAUCACGGCUACGUCGCCGAAAAUUUUCGAUUUCUUCAUGUAUUUCCCCAUAUCUCAGGCCCUUCCGGCCUCUCUGCGUUUUCUUCGAAGUUGGAAUUUGGAGAGAGAGGUGAUGACAACUGACGGAGGCGAUAUCUAUCAGAGAGAGAGAGAGAGAGAGAGAGAGAGAGAGAGAAGGGGGAGAGAGAGGGAAAGAGAGGGAAAAAGGUGGGGGGGGGGGGGGGAAGGUAGGGGAGGAGAGAGGGAGAGAGAAGAAAAGUUAGGGUUGGGGGUUUAGGGAACAGUGGUACUUUAUAUCUCUACAUUCUCGUCGUAUUUUCAUUAUUUGCCCCUUCUCUCUUAAAUUAUUUUCUUCCGUGGACCCUUCUCUCCCUCCCUUCUAUUUCCUUUUCUUUUUAAGUUUCAAAAAUAAAUUAAUUAAGGAUUUUUAUCACAAAUGAUUCUUAAAAUUGAUCUCACAUUCAAGAUGGUUUCUGAAAAGUCAAUCAAUGUAAUCCCUGAAAAUAGGUGUCGCAAAUUAAUGUGGUCAUUUUGUCACAAUUAUGUUAAAAAUUUCGUUAAGUGCUGAUGUGACACAUAAAUAAAUCCCACAAGAUUUAUGAGUUUUUGUGAAACCCCGUCCCAAAUUAUGUAUAUUUUCAUACUAACGAAUUUAUGAAAUUACCAUUUUUCCUCUUAUCCCCUCACCCUACCCGAAUCUCCCAUUUUGGGAUUUUCCCUAUCCCUUUUUAUUAUUUUUAUAACACUAUCUCCUCUUCUCCCUUCUAUCCCCCGAGUUCACUCUCUCUCUUAACUCACUUUUUCUCUCUCGCACCAAUCCCUUCUCCCACUCCCCGAUCUACACACACCAAAAUCGAGACAAACGAUGGCGACGACGGCACCACCAUGCCCACCGUGUUGGGGUUCCCUCUCUCUUCUCCUCUGUGAAGCACACAUAGAACCCAUGAAGCUUCUCCGGUGAGUUCCGUGGCUUUCGAGCCAAACUCCGACCAGCUCCAACCACCACACAGUGUGUUUUUAGGUAUGAAUCUCUUCCUCUCAUCCUAAACUUCAAUUGGGUAGUAAGAUCGCACCUUGGGGUUGAGUAACAGAGUCGAUCGGAGCUCGGGAAACCCAAAGCCUUGGGUAUGGGCUACCAGGCCCAAACCCUUUAACCAAAAACCCAGGGCCUUUGGCCCACUGAACCUAACUCAAAUCCAAUCCCUUGGGCCGGGUUACAAGCCCAAAACCUUUAAGCCCAAACUCCAGGCCCAGACUCUUUGAACCCAAACCUUUGGGCCAUGCAAACUCGGGCCUUCAGCCCAUUGAAAUAAGCCCCAAACCCAAUUGGAACCAAGCCAACCCAGACCUAGAUCCGACUUGACCCGGUCAGAUCCUAGAAACCAGACCUCGCGUGGGUGCCCGUCUGUGCCGAUGUGUGGAGCAUAUGCGCCUCCACCAGAGGCAUUGUGCUCCGCCAACGAUGCCGUCAACUUUUCCAGCCAACUUUUCGCGUGACCCAUGUUGGCGCGUACGGCGGCACGUGGCCGUCGGGGUUACCACCUUACAACGGUCCGUGGGUUUAUGUUUUUCGAUGUCCUGAAUCCGUUUAUGACGUAGUUUUCUGAAAUUCAAUCGCUAUGGGGCUAGCUGCCGUCCAUUGGCUUUUCCAUCCACCUCCUCCAGUAGCACACCAUGACCCAAUUUCUCCGAGGCACUGAAUUGGUUGGCUAUUUUCCUUUCUCAUUGAACUGAACUAGAUCUUCCUUCAAAUCAUUCUCCAUCGAUUCCUUUUGCCUCUCUACAUUGGUAUCGAAACCGCCAUACCCCUCCUUUGUCAACUUAUCAGCAAGUAUAAAAGCCAAGGUGAUCCCAGGCAGUAACAGCCACCCUUCCUUGAUCUGUUCAUCAAACAACCUUAGAAUCGAGCAUAGCUACCGCUUUCCCAUAGGGAUGUUCUGCAGAGAGAAUUCGAUAGCUGUCAUAAAGUUCUGUUCAUUUUCUGCUUAGAGCAGUUCUUAGUUUCAUACUCUAGUUUUUUGCCUGGAAGUGAAAGUACCUGCACCACCAACAUUCAUGAGUUAGUGAUUAAUGUAUAUGAAUUUCAAUAACGGUUCACUAAAUUCAUUUUACUAUCAAAGAUAACGCAGAUACUCACCCUUCGGUUACCAAUGAGUUCGAAGCUGGGGUCUUCUUCAUCAAACUUAUCCCGGAGCUGAAAGAACCAGUCGUUGUUCAUCAAGGACCAUCCAGUUCCAACAAACUCAGCUAGCACAUGGGUUGCACCUGAGGGAGUAAUGCCAAUUACAUCCUUUCCGGGGAGAUGUUUCGUUCUUGUUUCUGCUACCAUUGGCUCCCUGUCAUGCACAAUUUCAGGAUCCUGAUUAUGGAUCAUAAACAUCGAAGCUCCAUGAGUCAUUCAUAUUUGUAUCCUUCCAGGGAGUGAAAAAAGCAAGACUUUGAGAACGGACCGUCUGAACCAUGGGCAGUGCAUAUGGCAAUGGAAUUGGAGUAGUUGAAGUGAGAGCAAUGCGAAUGGUGACAGGCUUUGAACCCGGAACUGCAGACGUGGGAGUCAACUCAAACCAUUUCCCCACUUGCAGUUUAGAAGCUGGGUUGAGGAGGUGCUCUAAACUGAAUGUUGAAGUUCCCAACAGUAUAGGAGUCUUUGACAUUGACAGAAUCGAAGGGGAAUGCGACAUAAGGAAGCACACAGCCAAGGCGUUUAAAUUACAACCAACCAAUCUCCAGAGGCACUUGAAUACGGACUUUGCCACCCUGCAAGAUCGACAUGCUCGAACUACUUGGGAAUAUCACUUCCAGCGAAAAAAGGCUCACCAAAUAAACAAAUACGAUGUAUGAAAUAAACAAAUUCAAUGUAAGAAAUUAACAAAUUCAUUUAGCUACCAAAGAAUACAGAACCCCUUUCCUAAGAAAAUACCAAUGCAAUUCAUCUGAAUUAAUGCAGAUUUAAAGAGAAUAUAAUUUGAAUAAUUAUUGUGCAUAUAUAUAUAUAUAGACAUACACACACCAUGUAUGAAGAUCAUAUCCAUCACACAACAACAAAAUCAAAAGAAAAUGGUUGGAGCUUCUUGGCCUCAUUACCCACCUUGCGUCAGCGAAGACUGUACAAAUGCUGCAUGUUGUGGUCAAGGUUUUCUUAUUUCUCUUUCUCCACUACUUCUAUAUUUUUUUAUUUUUUUAUUUUAUAUAUCAAAUACGCACCUACAAAUUUGAAGGUCGAUAAUUUUUACUAUUUUCAGAAUUCAAAUAUGUUUGGCCGGAACUAGUUGGAAAGCCUGCGUCGGAGGCUGCAGCCAUAAUCGAGAAGAGCAACCCAUCAGUUACAGUUCUCAUCUUAAAGCCUGGAUUGAUUAGAUUGGACAAUUUUUGUUGCAACCGUGUGUAUGUUUUCAGUGAUCAAAAGGGCAGAGUCUCGGCGGUACCUACAGUCGGGUAGAUACUAGAGAAUGAUCCAGCAAUGCAGACUUCACCAAUAAUAUCUCAAUCAUCUCAAUGUAUUCAUAAUAAUUGUGGAAAAUUCUACUACAUCCACUUACGUUUACUUAUUUUCAAGCUUUCUUUCAAGAUGGGACUUAUUGAUGUCCUUUGUCUCAUGUUCUUCCUUAUUUUGAAUAAAAGGAUUAGAAUUCCAAAAGAUUAUGGAUAUGAUUUCUUAGCCUUCCUAACUGAGGCAGGGCCAUAAACAUUUGAAGGGCCAUCCAGGUGAGAGUGUUUCCCCUGGCAAGGGGGUGAGGGACUAGUCACACACUAUUCAUGGCAUGAAUACUAACCCUCUUAAUACAUCUUCAACCAGUGGUGGAUCCAGGAUUUCAAGAUCAGGGGGUCCCAACGUAAAAGUUUAAAAAAAGAAAUUAGAUUAAUUUUGUUCCAUAUCACUAUUUUCUAUUGAAUUUGGUUCAUUGAAUAAAUCAAGAUUAAUCUUAAUGGUAAUAAAACUAAUGAAUUCUCCUCAGCAAUAUAACGCAAUUAGUGACUCUACAAAGAUGUAAUUUGUUAGAGUAAACUGUCGAUUUGCCCCCUAAACUUUCACCUAGCUUUCGAUUUACCCCCUGAACUUUUCGAUUGGAAAAUUAAGGACUCAAACUAAUUUUUUUACCCAAUUUGCCCCCUACCGUUAGUUUUUCAAACAUUCCAUCCAUAUUUAUGUUCAGUGAGACCAUGUGCACAACAUGUGAGGGUAUUUAAGUCAUUUCACUCUUAAAAAUGAUUAAAAAACUGAAAAAAAAUUUAAGAAAAAAAAACUUUCCCUCUAUUUUUUUCCCUCUAAUUCCUAUUCUCAAUUUUAUUUUUCACUCAUUCUUAUGCAUGAGAAAUGACAUAUAAUGUUAUUGUCUUCAAAAGUAUCUAAGUUAGUCUUUUUCUUGAAGCAUGUACUGCCAUUUUUAUUUUCUCUAACAAAUUAAUAAUUUGACAAAUGCUCAUGGUGUUAUUGUCUUCAAAGCAGUGCAUUAAUAUAAGCAUGUUACAUGUUGUGCUUUAUUUUAGAGACAUUAAGACUUUACNACGCUAUCGACUACUUCAUAGCUCUGUUAUUAUUCGUCGAAUGAUGGUCAUACUCAUAUAAGUUCCCUUGGCAUGGGCUUAAAAGGUUGAUUUUGGAUGCUGCACCCGCUAUUUCCCAGCACGUCCUUCUAAUGGUCAUCAAGAUAACAACUGAGAUACUAUGGUAUCAGAACC
This 6923-nucleotide long non-coding RNA is filed under the name Malus domestica (apple). RNAcentral describes it as "long non-coding RNA (MDOM_LNC009459)". Lineage: Eukaryota; Viridiplantae; Streptophyta; Magnoliopsida; Rosales; Rosaceae. The record is from RNAcentral.